UUUUUUUUUGUUUGUUUGCUUUACCUGGUAUUAUACUUAUGCUUAAAUUGAAAGGAUUUGAUUGAUUACAGAAAACUUGAAACAAUUGUUAGUCCUUCUGUUGGCGAUGGACAACUUAGUGAAUUGAAGUCUUUGUUGAUAAGGGUUAAGAAAAUAUUCCAAAGAUUUUUAAAUUCAAGUUUAGUGAGCUGUUGGGCCUAACAGCCCACACUAACAGAGCUUUCACUCUUUAACCUCUAAGAGUGACUAACUUCUAAUUUCUCCUUACAAUAUCACCUGAAAAUCACACAUUAAGGUCACAAGAAUCAUAGUUAGUGGAGGGGACUGGUUAGGAGACCCGGCGAACAUCAAAGGAGUAUCUCUUUGUUUUCGUUUUGGCCCUAUGACGUCACCACGAGAGUGCACAGUCAAUCAGCUGAAUACAGAGCGCAUGGGGAAGACAUUGACAAGAAGCGAUACUUUACGUAGAUUUUUGAUUACAUGGAAAUAAUUAUUGGAGUUUUAACUAUAUAGUUUUAUAAUAUGCCAUGCCAGGCCGAAACUGUGCGGUCUUUGGCUGUGGAUCGUGAAGGCGGACCAAAGGAAUUGGAAUUUGGAAACCGCCAAAGGCAGACGACGCGAAACAUCGCAAAGGGCACGAAUCUUGGCUCGGAAAACUCAAGAAAAUUCGGGUAAUUGACUCCGAUUUUAGGGAGCAAUUCAAGAACGAUCAAGUCUACACUUGGGAGAAGCAUUUUUCACCCGAAGAUUUCGAGAUAUUUUCUACUGACAACACAACUCGAAAGAAUCCGAGAUUCAACGCAUUAUCUAAGUUAAAUAUGCCUACGAAAAGCAUUGAAUCUCGCAAGCCAAUGCCGAGACCAGAGCGUCACCAUCAUCUAGCAGAUUCAGUUUGCACUGACAUCAACUCAGAUGUAUGCUGAUGACAUUGCAUCCCAUGUCCUGGUAUUUAUGGUGCGUGGCAUUUGUACUGAACUUAAGUUUACCUUGGCUAAUUUUGCUACCACAGGAGUUACAUCAUAUCAGCUCAUGCCCUUGUUCUGGGAAGCAGUAUGCCUAUUAGAAAUCACAUGCAAUCUUUGGGUGGUUGCUACCACAGCAGAUGGUGCAAGUCCAAAUAGAAAGUUCUUUCAUCUUCACAAUGCACUUGGAGAUGUGCAAUGUGAUGUGUGCUACACACAAAGAAUCUCUAUGCCCCACACAGAUAUAUAUACUUUUUUAGUGAUGCACCACAUCUCAUCAAGACAACAAGGAAUUGUCUUAUGCUUUCAGGGGCAACAAAGGGAACCAGAUACAGGUGGAAUGAUGGACAGUAUGUCUUGUGGCAGCAUAUCACAAGAAUGGUGUAUGAGGACUUCAACAAUGGUCUGAAACUGCUGCCCAAGCUUACAUAUGAGCAUAUUAACUUGAAUGCUUAUUCAGUUAUGAGGGUUAAUCUUGCUGCAGAAGUCUUGAGCUCAACAAUGGCAGCAGUCCUAAAAGCAUUUAGCCCCCUGAAGCAGCUGGCACUGCCAAACUCUGUGAAAUGGUUGAUCGUUUCUUCAACUGUUUAAAUGUGAGAAGCAGGAUUGAACAUAUCCGUAAGCGCAAGCCCUUCCUGGCUCCAUGUACAUCACUUCAGGAUGAGAGAUUUGAAUUCCUGAUGAAAUGUUUGGGGAACCUGAACUCAUGGAAAACCAGCACAGAGAACAAACCUGGUAAUUACACCCAGAAUGCCAGAGCCAAAAUGUUCUUAACCUGGCAGACACAUGAGGGAUUUGAAAUCACUGUCCGUUCUGCAAUUGAAUGUACAAAGUUCCUUCUCCAGGAAGGAAUGGAAUUUAUUUUGAUAGGACGCUUCUGUCAAGACCCAGUUGAAUAAUAUUUUGGAGACCAGCGCAAACUUGGCAGGCAUUGUGAUAAUCUAGAUAUUCACCAAUUUGGAUAUAAUGCCAACACCAUCCACAUCCAGCGGUCUGUUUCAUGCAAAAGCGGUAACACCAGGGGGAGGAAGGAUAAGCAUCGACAAUGGGAACAAGUGACAAAUGAUAAAUUGCCAUGCAGAACGAGAAGAAAAACUGAAUGAUAGUUAUUCAUUGUUAAAAUCAAUUCAAGUAUCAAUUAGCCUCAAGUGAUAAUGAUCAUAAUUAGAUCUUACAUUUUGAAAGAUAUGCUUUAAUUUAGUAGUGGAUUAUUAUAUUGAUGUCUUUUGGAUGAUUUUUGAGACAUGUGAACAAUAUGUAAACAAAUUUUGAUCUAAAAGCCAAUAAUAUCUUGAAACACCAAGACUGCUGUUGACAUCAUUAUAUAGUUACUGAUAAUUUUAUUGCAUAUCUGGCAGGUAAUAUGUAACUUGAGUAAUAAUUAUAGCUUUCGACAAUAAAUGAUAACAUGAAACUACAGUAUUUCCGUGUUGUGACCUAAAAUUAUUUACAAAUGAAGCAUAAGGUAUCUAGCACUGUUCAGUACGUAAGUGUCCCAUUUUAUGAAUUAUCCAAAGAAGCUUAAGAAAUUAAAACCUUUAGACAUAAGCACGGUAAAGUCGGAGGUGUUUUCUCUAAGCUCUUCCAAUGAAUUAACUACCUUUUCAUUUUAUAUUGACUCUUUGUACAGCUGAACUGAGAGUAUGACUCAAUUUUUCGAAGAUACAUGUAGUGAUGAUGUUUUCUAUAUCGUUUUGUCCGUUAAAAAUGGGUUUAAUAUACAAAAUAAAUACAAAAAAAAAAGGUACAAAAGAAGAACAAAAGAAAGAAUUGAAAAUUCAAGUUUCUGACAUAGCAAAUUAGACAAAGAAAAUAUAUAAAUACUUGGAUUAGCAUCGAUAGGCCAUAGAGUAGCGCCAGGAAUAGCGAGUAAAAAUCUUUUUAAUUACACCAAAUUUUCUUAUGAGAUGCAAAAUAUGUGCUCACAUGUUUAUUGAAGCUUUAAACUACUCUUCGAUAUCUUUAUCUGGCCCAAAAACUGGAAUUCCGUCCAAAUAUUCCCUAAACAAGAGAAAAUGUUCCACAAUGUCCGCCAUCUUUGUUUUUGAUGUGCACUCUCGCUGUGACGUCACAGUGCAGUUCAACAUCAAAUACGAAACAAUAGGCCGCACCUCUGAUGUUCGCCGGGUCUCCUAACCAGUCCCCUCUAUUAACUAUGCGAGAAUAGAGAAAAUAAUCACCAAUAAAGAAGCUGUUGAUUUUUAAACAAAU
Molecule: long non-coding RNA, 3173 nt
Filed under: Stylophora pistillata
Lineage: Eukaryota; Metazoa; Cnidaria; Anthozoa; Scleractinia; Pocilloporidae
Description: uncharacterized LOC111344744
Source: RNAcentral